CAUCAUUUGCUGCAUUUGUCUCAGUAAGUCCCACUCUCGCAAAUUGUUGUAACAAUCUAAGCUUACUUCGUUUCUUCCUGUUCUUUGUCCAGAGCACUGCGUAGAGCCAUCCAAACUGGACCGCAGCCAUACCUUUUGCGUGCAGUGUAUCCUGAAGGUAAAAAUCUCUCUUUUCUCUCUUGACUUUAAACUUUGCUCAUUGUUCUCUUCAUUUUCUCCAGGUUAUCAAAGGAUGAAUGUCCAAUCUGUUGACAACACAUAGACAGCCAAGUAUACAAAAUCUUACAAAACAGGGAUUUACAGUCCUAGCUCUCCCCGACAGCACUAAGUCACAGAAUCCCGCAACACAUAUGGUAGGAAGAACAGCAACAAAACAGCGAAAAGAAGAAAAUUUACCAACACCACAACACA
RNAcentral lists this long non-coding RNA (411 nucleotides) under Selaginella moellendorffii. Its description in RNAcentral is "long non-coding RNA (SMOE_LNC002125)". The record is from RNAcentral. Lineage: Eukaryota; Viridiplantae; Streptophyta; Lycopodiopsida; Selaginellales; Selaginellaceae.